Molecule: transfer RNA, 87 nt
Filed under: Pseudomonas putida
Lineage: Bacteria; Pseudomonadati; Pseudomonadota; Gammaproteobacteria; Pseudomonadales; Pseudomonadaceae
Also listed under: 1 other name
Description: tRNA-Val
Source: RNAcentral
UUCCAUAUGAAUCAAUGGCUUAGCAUUUAUCCAGCCACCACCUUGACAUGGUGGGGGUCGUUGGUUCGAGUCCAAUUGUGCCUACCA